Molecule: ribosomal RNA, 329 nt
Filed under: uncultured eukaryote
Lineage: Eukaryota
Description: partial 18S ribosomal RNA
Rfam family: Eukaryotic small subunit ribosomal RNA
Source: RNAcentral
CCCUUAGAUGUUCUGGGCCGCACGCGCGCUACACUGACAGAGCCAACGAGUUCUUCACCUUGGCCGGAAGGUCUGGGUAAUCUUGUUAAACUCUGUCGUGCUGGGGAUAGAGCAUUGCAAUUAUUGCUCUUCAACGAGGAAUGCCUAGUAAGCGCGUGUCAUCAGCACGCGUUGAUUACGUCCCUGCCCUUUGUACACACCGCCCGUCGCUACUACCGAUUGAAUGGCUCAGUGAGGCCUUCGGACUGGCUCAGGGAGGUUGGCAACGACCACCCCGAGCCGGAAAGUUCGUCAAACUCGGUCAUUUAGAGGAAGUAAAAGGCGUAACA